Molecule: ribosomal RNA, 253 nt
Filed under: uncultured bacterium
Lineage: Bacteria
Description: partial 16S ribosomal RNA
Rfam family: Bacterial small subunit ribosomal RNA
Source: RNAcentral
GACGGGGGGUCCUAGCGUUGUUCGGAAUCAUUGGGCGUAAAGCGUGUGCAGGUGGUUUUGCAAGUUAGAUGUGAAAGCCUUGGGCUUAACCCAAGAAGGGCAUUUAAAACUGCAAAACUUGAGUAUGGAAGAGGGUCGUGGAAUUCCUGGUGUAGUGGUGAAAUACGUAGAUAUCAGGAGGAACACCGGUGGCGAAGGCGGCGACCUGGUCCUAUACUGACGCUGAGGUGCGAAAGCGUGGGGAGCAAACAGG